UAGUAAUCGUGGAUCAGCAUGCCACGGUGAAUACGUUCCCGGGUCUUGUACACACCGCCCGUCACACCAUGGGAGCCGGUAACACCCGAAGUCAGUAGUCUAACCGCAAGGGGGACGCUGCCGAAGGUGGGGCUGGUGAUUGGGGUGAAGUCGUAACAAGGUACC
RNAcentral lists this ribosomal RNA (165 nucleotides) under uncultured bacterium. RNAcentral describes it as "partial 16S ribosomal RNA". It matches the Rfam family "Bacterial small subunit ribosomal RNA", at positions 1336 to 1500 of the family's 1533-position model. The record is from RNAcentral.